Molecule: ribosomal RNA, 788 nt
Filed under: uncultured Lactobacillus sp.
Lineage: Bacteria; Bacillati; Bacillota; Bacilli; Lactobacillales; Lactobacillaceae
Description: bacterial SSU rRNA
Rfam family: Bacterial small subunit ribosomal RNA
Source: RNAcentral
GACGAACGCUGGCGGCGUGCCUAAUACAUGCAAGUCGAGCGAGCUUGCCUAGAUGAAUUUGGUGCUUGCACCAAAUGAAACUAGAUACAAGCGAGCGGCGGACGGGUGAGUAACACGUGGGUAACCUGCCCAAGAGACUGGGAUAACACCUGGAAACAGAUGCUAAUACCGGAUAACAACACUAGACGCAUGUCUAGAGUUUAAAAGAUGGUUCUGCUAUCACUCUUGGAUGGACCUGCGGUGCAUUAGCUAGUUGGUAAGGUAACGGCUUACCAAGGCAAUGAUGCAUAGCCGAGUUGAGAGACUGAUCGGCCACAUUGGGACUGAGACACGGCCCAGACUCCUACGGGAGGCAGCAGUAGGGAAUCUUCCACAAUGGACGCAAGUCUGAUGGAGCAACGCCGCGUGAGUGAAGAAGGGUUUCGGCUCGUAAAGCUCUGUUGGUAGUGAAGAAAGAUAGAGGUAGUAACUGGCCUUUAUUUGACGGUAAUUACUUAGAAAGUCACGGCUAACUACGUGCCAGCAGCCGCGGUAAUACGUAGGUGGCAAGCGUUGUCCGGAUUUAUUGGGCGUAAAGCGAGUGCAGGCGGUUCAAUAAGUCUGAUGUGAAAGCCUUCGGCUCAACCGGAGAAUUGCAUCAGAAACUGUUGAACUUGAGUGCAGAAGAGGAGAGUGGAACUCCAUGUGUAGCGGUGGAAUGCGUAGAUAUAUGGAAGAACACCAGUGGCGAAGGCGGCUCUCUGGUCUGCAACUGACGCUGAGGCUCGAAAGCAUGGGUAGCGAACAGG